This 669-nucleotide unclassified non-coding RNA is filed under the name Hevea brasiliensis (rubber tree). Lineage: Eukaryota; Viridiplantae; Streptophyta; Magnoliopsida; Malpighiales; Euphorbiaceae. The record is from RNAcentral.
AUACUGACAUUAGAUCAUGCAUUAUUUAGGGGAGUUGCAAUGAUUGAGCACUCAACUUAUGUCCACUUUAAUUACAAAAUGAGGACGCAAGUCUUAGUCAAUUCGCAUAGAUCGAUUAUAUGAUUCCUCCUUUCUUUAGAUUUGAAAGAGUGACCAAGACUGUUCAGUGAAAGGAUUUAUGUUUCUUUCUGUGGCAGUUCAGGAGAAUAAAAGUUUGCAACUUUUUCCUGUUAGGUCAAGCCAUUCUGUUGUUUUUUGCAUUUGGCCUUUUCCUUUUAAUUUUGCAAGCAUUUCUUAUUGAAGGUGGCAUUAAUGAGACAGUGGUACAUGUUUUCAGUUUAGCAGUGCAUGUUGCGAUAACAAUUCUGAGCCUUAAAAGUUCCAUUUUGUGAUUGCUCAAUGAUUGAAAGAAAAUUUCCUUUCCUCUAUUCUGUGUUUAGAACUCUGCUAUAUGCUCAAAGCUGCUAGUCUUUCUUUGGCAUUAUAUUGUUUACAUCUGAAUACAUUUUGGUCACAUGGACAAGGAAAAGGCAAGGAAAGGAAACGUGAUGAAAUAAUUUGUUUCCAUAAUGGUGUUGUUUAGAAAUUGGCUACUCUGUAUUUUUUUUUUACACUGCAAUUUAGCUCCAUCUGGCACUUUGAUGUUGCAGAUAUGGCCUCCCAAGAGUG